CUGCUGACUGUGAGGUACAGGGUCAAAGUUUACUCAAUGAUGACGAAUAGGGGGCGGAUCGAACCGCGCAUAUGUUCCCCCGCCGUGGCGAACGCGAACGCGCCAGCGAACCGUUCGGUGCAUCACUAUUGACCGGUCUGCCAUGAGGUUGAAGCACAAAAUAGUUCCAGGGAAAGUGUGGCAAUGACCGGUCUCCGUUCGUGGGGUUUUGUACUAAAAACCACAUAAGGUACACGAAAGAUUUCACUGGGAUAAUGCUU
This is a non-coding RNA of Pelobates cultripes (western spadefoot toad), 260 nucleotides long. NCBI's taxonomy places the organism in Eukaryota, Metazoa, Chordata, Amphibia, Anura, Pelobatidae. The record is from the annotation of a GenBank genome assembly.